This 465-nucleotide ribosomal RNA is filed under the name uncultured bacterium. RNAcentral describes it as "partial 16S ribosomal RNA". It matches the Rfam family "Bacterial small subunit ribosomal RNA", at positions 338 to 795 of the family's 1533-position model. The record is from RNAcentral.
CCUACGGGAGGCAGCAGUGGGGAAUAUUGCGCAAUGGGCGAAAGCCUGACGCAGCGACGCCGCGUGAGGGAUGAAGGUCUUCGGAUCGUAAACCUCUGUCAGGAGGGAAGAAGUGGUUAUAUGCGAAUAGUGUAUGACUUUGACGGUACCUCCAAAGGAAGCACCGGCUAACUCCGUGCCAGCAGCCGCGGUAAUACGGAGGAUGCGAGCGUUAUCCGGAUUUAUUGGGUUUAAAGGGUGCGUAGGCGGAAGGUUAAGUCAGCGGUCAAAUGUCGGUGCUCAACACCGGCCUGCCGUUGAAACUGGUAGUCUUGAGUGAGCGAGAGGGAGGCGGAAUGCGUGGUGUAGCGGUGAAAUGCAUAGAGAUCACGCAGAACUCCGAUUGCGAAGGCAGCAUACCGGCGCUCAACUGACGCUGAGGCGCGAAAGCGUGGGGAUCGAACAGGAUUAGAUACCCGAGUAGUC